UUCCUGGUGGUCCAGUGGCUAAGACCCCAAACUCGCAAUACGGGGGCCCAGGUUCGAUCCCUGGUCAGGGAA
This 72-nucleotide transfer RNA is filed under the name Bos taurus (domestic cattle). It matches the Rfam family "tRNA". Rfam says of the family: Transfer RNA (tRNA) molecules are approximately 80 nucleotides in length. The record is from Rfam by way of RNAcentral. Lineage: Eukaryota; Metazoa; Chordata; Mammalia; Artiodactyla; Bovidae. RNAcentral also lists the same sequence under 1 other name.